UGAGGAAUUUUGCGCAAUGGACGAAAGUCUGACGCAGCAACGCCGCGUGAAGGAAGAAGGUCUUUGGAUCGUAAACUUCUGUUGAAUGGAAAGAAAGAAUCUUAGUUAAAAGCUGAGCUUUUAUGACGUUACUGUUCUAGAAAGCCCUGGCUAACUUCGUGCCAGCAGCCGCGGUAAUACGAAGGGGGCAAGCGUUAUUCGGAUUGAUUGGGCGUAAAGGGCGCGUAGGCGGCGCAAAAAGUUUAUUGUUUAAUUUCCCGGCCUAACUGGGAGCAUGCAAUAAAUACUUUUGUGCUAGAGGUUGAUAGAGGGAAGCGGAAUUCUCGGAGUAGCGGUUAAAUGCGUGGAUCUCGAGAGGAACGCCGGUGGCGAAAGCGGCUUCCUGGAUCAAUUCUGACGCUGAGGCGCGAAGGCAUGGGGAGCAAACAGG
This 430-nucleotide ribosomal RNA is filed under the name uncultured bacterium. Its description in RNAcentral is "bacterial SSU rRNA". It matches the Rfam family "Bacterial small subunit ribosomal RNA", at positions 355 to 776 of the family's 1533-position model. The record is from RNAcentral.